This 789-nucleotide ribosomal RNA is filed under the name uncultured bacterium. RNAcentral's name for it is "bacterial SSU rRNA". It matches the Rfam family "Bacterial small subunit ribosomal RNA", at positions 1 to 795 of the family's 1533-position model. The record is from RNAcentral.
UAGGAGUNGNUCCUGGGCUCAGGGACGAAACGUUGGCGGGCGUGCCUUAACACNUGCAAGUCGAACGGGACCCGGGGGCAACUCUUGUUCAGUGGCGGACGGGUGCGUAACACGUGAGGAACAUGACCUUCGGCGGGGGAUAGCCGGCCCAACGGCCGGGUAAUACCGCGUACGACCACUUGGGGACAUCCCUAGGUGGUGAAAGCAGCAAUGCGCCGAUGGAGUGCCUCGCGGCCUAUCAGCUAGUUGGUGAGGUAACGGCUCACCAAGGCGACGACGGGUAGCUGGUCUGAGAGGAUGGCCAGCCACAUUGGGACUGAGACACGGCCCAGACUCCUACGGGAGGCAGCAGUGGGGAAUAUUGCGCAAUGGACGAAAGUCUGACGCAGCGACGCCGCGUGUGGGAUGACGGUCUUCGGAUUGUAAACCACUGUCGGGAGGGACGAAUACGCCGCAAGGCGGGUGACGGUACCUCCAAAGGAAGCACCGGCUAACUCCGUGCCAGCAGCCGCGGUAAUACGGAGGGUGCGAGCGUUGUCCGGAAUCACUGGGCGUAAAGGGCGCGUAGGCGGCCUGAUAAGUAGGGGGUGAAAUCUUGCGGCUUAACCGCAAGGCUGCCUUCUAAACUGUCAGGCUUGAGCACAGUAGAGGCAGGUGGAAUUCCCGGUGUAGCGGUGGAAUGCGUAGAGAUCGGGAAGAACAUCAGUGGCGAAGGCGGCUUGCUGGGCUGUUGCUGACGCUGAGGCGCGACAGCGUGGGGAGCAAACAGGAUUAGAUACCCUGGUAGUC